Molecule: long non-coding RNA, 1040 nt
Organism: Bos taurus (domestic cattle)
Lineage: Eukaryota; Metazoa; Chordata; Mammalia; Artiodactyla; Bovidae
Source: Ensembl
CCGUGCUUUAAGUUUUAGAAAAUGUGGUUCUCUAGAGGGAUCGUGGUGGUUUUUAAAUUGCCUGUCCCUGAAGAGCAAUGAAUCUGAGCACCUUUCAUAUGCUUAUUGAUUACCUAGAUUUUUCUCUUUUUUGAAGUGCUUAUUUAAGCCUUGUUCACUCUUUAAAAAACAAGUUGUCUUUUUCUUACUGGUUUAUAGAAGGUCUUUAUACUUUUUGGAUACAAAUCUUUGUCAAUAUGUGUAUUGAAGAUAUUGUUUCCAAUACUUUGGCUUGCCCCUUUUCCCUGUUAAUGGUGGUUUUUUGCCAAACAAUUGAAGAAACUUCUUUGAAUUUCUCAUACACAUUCUACUACCUUCACCUUGGAGCUUUCAUACUCUUAACUGAGGCACUACUUAGAUUUUUAUUUUCUCCUGGAAGACUUUCCCACUUCUAUUGUCUUAACUGGGACUCUGGUGACACAAACCCAGCUCAUCAGGCUGGGGAUUCAAACCCCAUCAAGACUCUCUCUGUCCACUUUCAUCUCUAUGUGUCAAUUUUGUUUUCUCAAGCCAGUUUUCUGCCUGUAGAAGAAAAAAUGGUCCCAUUAUUUCUCCAUUUGCACCCUUUUUUUUCCCUCUACCAGGAAAGGACUGCCUUUCCUCCCUUAAAUUCAACUUUGAAAAUUCUGAUGAGGGACUUCUCUGGUUAAGAAUUAAUCUUCCAAUGCAGGGGACACAGGUUCGAUCCCUGGUUAAGGAACUAAAAUAUCCCACAUGUGGCAGGGCAACUAAGCCUGCUCGGUGCAAAUGGAGAAGCCCACACACUGCAACGAAGACUCAGUGCAGACUAAAUAAAUACAUAAAGUAAGAUAAAAUCCUGAUGAAGAAUUCAGACAGCUCGACCAGACUCAGAUCACUCACGAGCCCUGUAGCUAGAAAGAGUGCUGGAGACCUUAGCCCCCAGUAGCCCUACAAGAGAGUGUAUGAAAACCAGUUCUCCCAAAAACACAAGAAAGCACUGUUCCCAGAAGCAGAAAGGGGUGGCUGGGCAGACAGGAAGC